Molecule: long non-coding RNA, 1839 nt
Organism: Felis catus (domestic cat)
Lineage: Eukaryota; Metazoa; Chordata; Mammalia; Carnivora; Felidae
Exons: 4
Source: RefSeq, a predicted model, not a curated record
CUAGAAGCUUCCCACACCAUUGCUGGGGAUGUGUUUUCUCUAGGCUUAUGUUGAUAGUUUUCCGGUUAAAGAGUUUCACCUGAAAAAAAAAAGUUUCACCUGUUUCUCUUUUACGAGCUCCUAUUCUCUUCCUCCCUCUGGCGUCUGUCUGCAGUACUGCAGCAUCUGCCGCUUGACCUCUCACUGACUACCGCCAAAGGAAGUGAGCAGAGGUUUCCCGCCAGAGCUCCAGGUCAGGCGAGUCAGCCUCCCGAAAAGCUGGAACAUUCGGCAUAGUUCAGCUCUUCUCUUCCUCUCCUCGGGAUGAGACCCAAGCUGCACAUUUUCUCAAAUUGCGUGAGCUGUGACACCUAAAGGGUUACUAAAGCUUUGGCUACAGCAUGGCAGCCUAGACUUCGAGAGACAAGAUACAGAACUUGACAGUCGUCUUAAAAGGUUAAGAGAUGUGUCUAGUAAGAAGAUACUAUGGGCCGAUGUCAAACAAGUUGCUACCAGUGUUCCCCUCUAGGAUUUUGGUGGUUUCCUGUCUCACAUUCAGAGAGAAGAUAUUUGGAAGUCUCUUCCAAAUCAGAAGUGGACUUCCUGAACUUUACUCUGAUUAUACCAUUCAAGUUACCUGCCAUCACGGAACCAGUUACUACAUCAAAGAGAUGCCUUCUACUGCUUAGUUCAAACCAGAUUUCAUGCAGCAGCCUGAGUCAGGCCAUAUAGCAAGGGUUGUGGGACUUGCUUGAAUUUACAAAUAACAUAGGCAAAUCCAGAGACAUCAUUCUAUAUGAAACAAAGUUAAAUGUAUCCAAAUAGCACAACUCUUUACAAUUCCAGAGGAUGGGCUAGGAAAGUAACCAUAAUAUAUGCUACAAAUGGCAAUUUGGUUUUACUUUGAUUGCUUAUGUUAAUCCAUAUUAUCCAUAUUAUCUAAAUAGCAAAAAAAAAAGGGGGGGGGGAGAAAGAAAAGGAAAAGGAAAGAAAGGAAGAAAACUAUGUCAAUAAUGGUUUGCAUUCAAUAAGCAUACAGUUUAGCUGCAGUGGGAAAAAAAAUCAUGAAUCAGUGGUAAUAUAUUUAACCCCUGUGGUGGUCAAAAAUUAAGGGACAGAGAAAAGAUAAAUUUGAGAUGAUAAAGUUGUCAAGUUAAUAGUUAAGGCAAUAUUGCUUAUGGAUGAAAGUAGAAAAUUUCAUUCAAACAUUGAGACAUCAUGAACAAAUACUCUCUAUCACUAUAUGUGUAUAUAUGUGUGUAUGUUGCAUAUUGUAUUUUGUUCCAAUUUUAGUAUAUGUGCAACUGAAGCAAGCACCUUAUUUCAAGAUUUCGAAAGCUUAAAAUCAUCUAUGCCAAAAUUUGGUUCCCCCUUUUUUUACUCAAGAUAGAAAUUGGUAGCCUAGGAUCUUAAGGCUACACAUCUUCCAUUUUGCAAUACUAUAGAAAAAUAAAUAGUAAGUACCAUUGCCCUUAUAAUACAAAUCAUUAGGUACCAAAGUGGUAUUUUAUAGGAAACCAUAUUAUAAAAUUAUAGAACCAAAUUAUAGAAAAACCCAAAUGAAACAUAAGACUGAUUUUAUUGCAUUUGGUGGAAAAUAUAUUUUUGAUUUAAAUAUGAAUAACAUAUAAUAUAUUGAGGCCCCUUAAGUUUUCUCACAUAUAAUAUAGUAGACUUACUAUCAAAAUUCACACGAUCAGCUCAUUCUGUGUUUAUUAUCCAAUAUGUCUAUGUCUGUUUCUGCUUUCUGAAGCCAAAACUCCUAUUCUUCUUUUACUUUUUAAAAAUGUUUAUUUAUUUAUUUUAAGAGAGACACCACAAGCAGGGGAGAGGGGCAGAGAGGGAGAGAGAAUCCCGAGC